This 541-nucleotide ribosomal RNA is filed under the name uncultured Polyangium sp. RNAcentral describes it as "partial 16S ribosomal RNA". It matches the Rfam family "Bacterial small subunit ribosomal RNA", at positions 8 to 527 of the family's 1533-position model. Lineage: Bacteria; Pseudomonadati; Myxococcota; Polyangiales; Polyangiaceae. The record is from RNAcentral.
AGAGUUUGAUCAUGGCUCAGARCGAACGUUAGCGGCGCGCUUAACACAUGCAAGUCGCACGAGAAAGGGCUUCGGCCCCGGUAAAGUGGCGCACGGGUGAGUAACACGUGGGUAAUCUGCCCUCCGCUGGGGGAUAACAUUCCGAAARGRRKKSYWAWWACCGCAUAAGACCACGACCUCGAAAGAGGAUGCGGUCAAAGCAGGCCUCUUCAUGAAAGCUUGCGACGGAGGAUGAGCCCGCGGCCCAUCAUGGUAGUUGGUAGGGUAAUGGCCUACCAAGCCGAAGACGGGUAGCUGGUCUGAGAGGAUGAUCAGCCACACUGGAACUGAGACACGGUCCAGACUCCUACGGGAGGCAGCAGUGGGGAAUCUUGCGCAAUGGGCGAAAGCCUGACGCAGCGACGCCGCGUGGGUGAUGAAAGCCUUCGGGUUGUAAAGCCCUGUGGGGCGGGACGAAUAAGUCGUGGCUAACAUCCACGAUGAUGACGGUACCGCCUUAGCAAGCACCGGCUAACUCUGUGCCAGCCGCCGCGGUAAUUCA